UUCCAUGGGAAACAUAUACCUUCAAUGCAUACUACUGGAUCAGGAAGGGACAAAAAUGGAAGCCAUUGCGUUCAACAAUCAAGUUGUUCGUUUCAACACCAUUCUUCAAACCGGCAUGUCCUAUGAAUUCACUCGUGUAGGAUUUAACCCCACUGAAAUGGCAGUUGUACAUUUCUUGUAUCUAGACAUGGAGUUUAUCAUGACACUAGAUAGUAGGACUGUGGUUAUGAUUUCGGCGCACAGGAUAUCAACGGCAAUUUGUCCAUUGUGUUUCCCACAAUUUGGGGCCAUCUACUCACUACAAGACAAACGCAUAACUGGUGCAUUUUUUAUCUUUGUUCUUGCAUAUUUUGUUAUAGAACUCAGGGUCUCAUUCUGAUUAAAUCUUCGCAGAUGUUAUUGCUAUUGUUGCCUAUGUUAGUAAGAUACAAACUCUAUGGGAUCCAAUAUAUGAUAGACAUGUCCCUUUGCUCGAAAUUGGCCUCAUGAACUUUCGACGUCAGAUAAUUUUCCUACGCAUAUAUGACGAGCACGUUGGCCGUCAA
Hordeum vulgare subsp. vulgare (domesticated barley) is the source of this 545-nucleotide long non-coding RNA. RefSeq lists it as uncharacterized. The transcript is spliced from 3 exons. The record is from RefSeq and is a predicted model, not a curated record. Lineage: Eukaryota; Viridiplantae; Streptophyta; Magnoliopsida; Poales; Poaceae.